GUUGUGGUGAGUGCCAGUUAAAUAAAUUUAUAGUUUGGUGGAUAACGUACCUUUUGUAUCAUGAUUCAUUGAGGUAUUAUAGGUUAUUCUAUUUCCCGAAAGGUUCUCGAUUUUAUAUAGUUCAUUCUGUUAAUUAUAGUUAGUUGGUGAGGUUGGAUAAGUUACUAAGUAAGUAUAAUUAGAGAAACUAUGUAGGUAGUGAUAAAUUAUUCGUGUGAUCUGAUAUCUGGUUAGUGACUUUAUUUAUCGAACUUAGGGAAUAGCUGAGUGUGUUGGUUAUUUAGGACAGAGAUAUUGUAAUUAUUAUGUGAUAGGGUCUGAGAUUAAGAUUGUCUUAGGUUAGUAAAGUUAUUUACAUAGCUUAGAAGAUUGAUUAAUAAAAAUCUUGUUGGUUAAGAGAGGUCAUUUAGUAAAAUUAGAUAUAUAAUGAUGGUGGAAUAAGUAGGUUAGAUUAUUGAUUGUUUCUUUUUUCAGUAUUGCACUCAACUGUUUAUUAAAAACAUUGCUAUUAGUUAAUUGUUUAAUAGUAAGGCCUGCUCAGUGAAGAAGUUUGUUUAAAUAGCCGCGAUUAUUUAUCGUGCUAAGGUAGCAUAAUAUAUAGUCUUUUAAUUGUAGACUUGUGAAUGGUUCAAUGAGGUGUGAUUAAGGUGAUAGUCUAUUAUCUGAAUUUAGUUUAGUGGUUAGGAACCCAUUGUUACAUUAUUAGACGGAAAGACCCCAAGAGCUUUUUUUGUGUUAGAUUUGUUUGGGGUAAAUGUAGAUUAUUCAUUUAUUUUUAGAUCCUUUAUGGAUAAAGGAUAAAGUUACCUUGGGGAUAACUGAGUAAAGGACAGGGAGAGGUCCUAUUGAUCUGUUUAUUACUACCUCGAUGUUGGCUUGUUGAACCUUUUCGGUGUAGAGGCUGGAAAAGGAAGUCUGUUCGACUUUUAAAUCUUCAUGAGUUGAGUUAAGACCGGUGUAAGCCAGGUUGGUUCUUAUCUAUAAUUGGUUCUAAUUAGUACGAAAGGAUUAUUAGAAUACAGUGUUUCUGUACGCAUAGGAAUAGGAAGUAUACA
This 1055-nucleotide ribosomal RNA is filed under the name Schistosoma mansoni. RNAcentral describes it as "large subunit ribosomal RNA". The stretch from base 700 to 984 matches the Rfam family "Archaeal large subunit ribosomal RNA", at positions 2150 to 2716 of the family's 2987-position model. Lineage: Eukaryota; Metazoa; Platyhelminthes; Trematoda; Strigeidida; Schistosomatidae. The record is from RNAcentral.